GUCGUAGGUUCGAAUCCCACCGUGGCGGGGCAUAUUUUUCAAGCUCGCCCGGUGUGGAUAUACACUCAGAGUAACACCACAAAUAUCAUAUUCACCUGAGUACACCACACCAACACAGAAAAAAAUUCAUAUUACUAGAAUACAUUGGUAUCGAAGGAACUAGGUUCUGUUCCGAAAAAUCACUUACUCGAACCGUCCUGACCGCGUAGCUCAGUUGGAAGAGCAUUGGGCUAGUAUUCCAAAGGUCGUAGGUUCGAAUCCCACCGUGGCCGGGCAUAUUUUUCAAGCUCGCCCGGAGUGGAUAUACACUCAGAGUAACACCACAAAUAU
This is a non-coding RNA of Paramuricea clavata, 330 nucleotides long. The record is from the annotation of a GenBank genome assembly. Lineage: Eukaryota; Metazoa; Cnidaria; Anthozoa; Malacalcyonacea; Plexauridae.